CAAAGUGUAGUAUCUGUUCUUAUCAGCUUAAUAUCUGAUACGUCCUCCAUUGGGGGACAUCGAUAUUAAACUGAUUUUUGAAAGGGGGUGAGGUGCCCGGGGCUUGCUCCGCCCUCACCACGGGUUGAC
This 129-nucleotide small nuclear RNA is filed under the name Depressigyra globulus. Its description in RNAcentral is "partial U2 snRNA". It matches the Rfam family "U2 spliceosomal RNA", at positions 27 to 155 of the family's 192-position model. Rfam says of the family: U2 is a small nuclear RNA (snRNA) component of the spliceosome (involved in pre-mRNA splicing). The record is from RNAcentral. Lineage: Eukaryota; Metazoa; Mollusca; Gastropoda; Neomphalida; Peltospiridae.